Molecule: ribosomal RNA, 431 nt
Filed under: uncultured prokaryote
Description: partial 16S ribosomal RNA
Source: RNAcentral
CCCUACGGGGUGCACCAGGGUAAGGCAAGUUAAGCAAACGCGCGACUUUAUCGAAUGCUUCGCCGGCUGCAUCGUCCAGCGUGCUGCCCAAAAGUUCAUACUGAAGAUGAUCUUUCAUAAGCAUAAGGUUGGAAUGGCCGCCAGAAACGAUCAGUGCGAUCAAGGGGAAUUCCGGCAACGGCUGGGGUUCAUCCUCAUCAUCCUGGACCCAUGCGGAAUAAAGAUGACCUUCCAGGUGAUUGAUACCGAUCAAUGGCAGCCCGCUGCCCAACGCCAAUGCCUUGGCCAUGUUCAUACCUACGACCAGCGAUCCGGCCAGACCUGGACCGCGCGUCACGGCGAUCGCGUCCAGUUCGCCCAAACUCAAAUGGGCUUGAGCCAAAGCCUCUUCUACCACAGGAUAGAUGGUCAGGAUAUGCUGGCGGGAGGGC